CAGUCGCCGCGGUAAUACGAAGGGUGCAAGCGUUACUCGGAAUUACUGGGCGUAAAGCGUGCGUAGGUGGUGGUUUAAGUCCGUUGUGAAAGCCCUGGGCUCAACCUGGAAAUUGCAGUGGAUACUGGAUCACUAGAGUGUGGUAGAGGAUAGUGGAAAUUCCGGUGUAGCAGCGAAAUGCGUAGAGAUCGGAAGGAACAUCUGUGGCGAAGGCGACUAUCUGGGCCAACACUGACACUGAGGCACGAAAGCGUGGGGAGCUAACAGGAUUAGAUACCCCUGUAGUCCCUGUCUCUUAUAC
This 301-nucleotide ribosomal RNA is filed under the name uncultured bacterium. RNAcentral describes it as "partial 16S ribosomal RNA". It matches the Rfam family "Bacterial small subunit ribosomal RNA", at positions 509 to 807 of the family's 1533-position model. The record is from RNAcentral.